This 475-nucleotide ribosomal RNA is filed under the name uncultured bacterium. RNAcentral describes it as "bacterial SSU rRNA". It matches the Rfam family "Bacterial small subunit ribosomal RNA", at positions 328 to 793 of the family's 1533-position model. The record is from RNAcentral.
UCAGUCGACUCCUACGGGGAGGCAGCAUUGGGGAAUAUUGCACAAUGGGGGAAACCCUGAUGCAGCCAUGCCGCGUGUGUGAAGAAGGCCUUCGGGUUGUAAAGCACUUUCAGUAGGGAGGAAGGUAGUGUAGUUAACACCUGCAUUAUUUGACGUUACCUACAGAAGAAGCACCGGCUAACUCCGUGCCAGCAGCCGCGGUAAUACGGAGGGUGCGAGCGUUAAUCGGAAUUACUGGGCGUAAAGCGCAUGCAGGCGGCCUGUUAAGUCAGAUGUGAAAGCCCGGGGCUUAACCUCGGAAUUGCAUUUGAAACUGGCAGGCUAGAGUCUUGUAGAGGGGGGUAGGAAUUUCAGGUGUAGCGGUGAAAUGCGUAGAGAUCUGAAGGAAUACCAGUGGCGAAGGCGGCCCCCUGGACAAAGACUGACGCUCAGAUGCGAAAGCGUGGGGAGCAAACAGGAUUAGAUACCCUGGUAG